Molecule: ribosomal RNA, 253 nt
Filed under: uncultured bacterium
Lineage: Bacteria
Description: partial 16S ribosomal RNA
Rfam family: Bacterial small subunit ribosomal RNA
Source: RNAcentral
UACGGGGGGGGCAAGCGUUGUUCGGAAUUACUGGGCGUAAAGGGCUCGUAGGCGGCCAACUAAGUCAGACGUGAAAUCCCUCGGCUUAACCGGGGAACUGCGUCUGAUACUGGAUGGCUUGAAUCCGGGAGAGGGAUGCGGAAUUCCAGGUGUAGCGGUGAAAUGCGUAGAUAUCUGGAGGAACACCGGUGGCGAAGGCGGUGCUCUGGGCCGGAACUGACGCUGAGGAGCGAAAGCGUGGGGAGCAAACAGG